Bubalus bubalis (water buffalo) is the source of this 1867-nucleotide long non-coding RNA. RefSeq lists it as uncharacterized. The record is from RefSeq and is a predicted model, not a curated record. NCBI's taxonomy places the organism in Eukaryota, Metazoa, Chordata, Mammalia, Artiodactyla, Bovidae. The transcript has 4 exons.
CUGGGUCUCUCGCUCAGCAGGGUCUGUUGCAAGGCUUCCGUGGCGGUGUAGGCAGAGGCUGCAAGGUUCAACUCCAAGUUCAACUGGGGUAAAACUGGCUUCCAAGCUCACUCAGUGGUGGUUGGCAAGAUUCCGUUCUCUGUGGGCUGUUGGGCUGAAGGCAUCAGUUCCUAGUUGCCCUCAGUCCUUGCCUGGAGGCGCUUUCAUCACAGUAAGUAAAGGAGAAGACCCGAAACCGGAAGUGUCACGGUCUUCCGUUGCCCCAGAUGAGUCUGUGGGGCUGCAGUCUAUGGGGCUGGAAAAGAGUCAAAUGCAGCUUCGCGACUAAACCACAACCACAGAGGGCCAUAAGGAAGCAGCCGCUCGGCGGCUUCUGGCGUAGCCCCCUCUCCGAGCGGCGUACUUCUGAGCGGCCCGGUGGAUAAGGUUACAUGGUCUUUCAGUCACAUUUUCACAGCAAUCAUUUCAUGCCAGGCCCUGACCAGGUUGCUGUGUUGGGACUACACAUCUGCUGAAAGACUGGCUGUCCUGGAAUGCCUUACAACUCAGGAGGCACUGAGCCGAUCUGCUGAACACCAGAGUGACGUGAAUUAACCGGCCCAGAAUCAGUCCUGGCAUCAGAAGAAGGAGGGGUGAAGUUCUCCCUGGUGGUUCUAAAAGUCAUUUUCCCUAAGAUUUGUGAUUUACGGGAUGAGCUGCUUGAAUACUUACCAAAUCAUUUCUCACUCUUGUCCAGACUCCCCACUUCCAUGCCUCUGUGGACAAUCAACCCUAGUGUGGGUCACAUAGACUAGAGUCCAAAAGGCCCUUGGAAUUUUUCCCUUAACCUUAUUUUUCUUUCUUCAUGAUCGGAGGAUCUUAAAUGCGAAAUGUUUCAGCUGCAACCUGGCCCAAUUUAGUUCAACACUGGCCUUGGCCAGUGUGCAUCGAGCAACUCUGACCACCUGGCUUAUAUUUUCCUUCAGAAUCCCGGUUGCUCUGCCGUGGACCUGUCUCUCAACUCUCCUGAGCCCCUGUGUGGUCCUUGGCUUCUGUGAGUUAUGACGUUACGGGAAUGUAUCCCUUUGGUUGUCUUUGAAGUUUCAUGAAGCCAGAAGGAGGAGGAAGAAAGAAGGAUGCUCUGACCAGCCAGCAUUCCCUAAGACAGGUUAUUUUCUAUUUUUAAGAAUUAUGAGUGACUAUGAAGAUGGAUGGUAAUUGAAAGAAAACAAUGAAUUAAUAGCCAGAAGCAUAUUAAUAGGUCAAGGGACUAAUUCAUUUAGUGGAAAGGUUAAUUAAUUGGAUGUGUGUGUGAUAAAGACAUCUCAAGGUGACAUUUUAGUGGACAGUCACAUCCUCACACUAGCGAGGAGGGUAGGAGUGUGCUCUAUCAGAGGAUUUCGACUUGGUGCCCUGCUGAACCCUGACUGACUCUACGCUAACCAGGGUAAGCAGACGUGCAGUUUCCAGGGGGUCUUUGCGGGGAGGAAGCAAUGACCUUCUAGCUAUUCAGUGAUGGCUCACUCACCCUGUACCCCAGCCAUAUGACUUACUGCUGCUGCUGCCUGAGAACAUUUGCUGUAAAAGAAAUAAGACAUGGUCGAGCCUUCUCUUCUAUGGAUUAAAAUGAAUCUAUCGCACAUAUCAAUUGUACAGAAAAGACUUGCUCCCAUUAUAGGAAUUUUAGGCCACCCAAGAAGAUGUGUAUGAACCCAGGAGUCAAUUCACAACAUUCUUACAUAGACUACAAGUCCUGUUAAGAACUCCAUACAAUACAGGUUUCUUUACAUAGAACAAUAAAUUAGUGGUAUCGAUGAAAAAAACCCUUUAUUCCAAGCAGUGAUUUGGAUGAUGUUUUUGAAUGAAAACACACUAGGAAAAUACUAUA